This 329-nucleotide ribosomal RNA is filed under the name uncultured eukaryote. Its description in RNAcentral is "partial 18S ribosomal RNA". It matches the Rfam family "Eukaryotic small subunit ribosomal RNA", at positions 1470 to 1796 of the family's 1831-position model. The record is from RNAcentral.
CCCUUAGAUGUUCUGGGCCGCACGCGCGCUACACUGAUGCAUUCAACGAGUCUAAAACCUGCUCUGAUAGGGGUGGGUAAUCUUUUGAAUGUGCAUCGUGAUUGGGAUAGAUGAUUGCAAUUUUUCAUCUUCAACGAGGAAUGCCUAGUAAACGCAAGUCAUCAGCUUGCAUUGAUUACGUCCCUGCCCUUUGUACACACCGCCCGUCGCUCCUACCGAUUGAAUGAUCCGAUGAAUAUCAUGGAUUGAGGAUUAUAGCAGGUUCGCCUGUCUUGAUCUUCGAGAAGUGAAGUAAAUCUUACCAUUUAGAGGAAGGAGAAGUCGUAACA